This is a non-coding RNA of Acanthosepion pharaonis, 79 nucleotides long. Lineage: Eukaryota; Metazoa; Mollusca; Cephalopoda; Sepiida; Sepiidae. The record is from the annotation of a GenBank genome assembly.
AUGAUCAGCAAAGUUAAGCCAUGUUGAGCCUGGUCAGUACUUAGAUGAGUGACCACUGGGGAAUACCAGCUGCUGUAAG